GGGGGCGACAUGGCUUCGACGUGGGUCGCGAAACUCUGAGUGCAUGCCGAGGAACAGAAUACCUCGUUAAACCAUCUGUAAAAACUAUAGUUGCCAACGAAGACAACUACGCACUAGCUGCUUAAUAACCAGUAUAGCGCCUUCUGCCCGGUUAGCGCCUGUACGUCCGGAUAACAGGAGUCAUAAUUACAGGACCGUGAGUUUGGUGUGCUUAGGACUAAAUUUAUUAAACUUAACUAAGCUGGCAUCAGGUUUUCCUCUUCCAUUAGGUAGCUUGAUGUAAGAUUAAGAAUGGAAUAAGCAUGUAGACCUCAGUGCGGAGGGCUUGCGGACGCGGGUUCGAUUCCCGCCGCCUCCACCA
Molecule: transfer-messenger RNA, 361 nt
Filed under: Woeseiaceae
Lineage: Bacteria; Pseudomonadati; Pseudomonadota; Gammaproteobacteria; Woeseiales
Also listed under: 1 other name
Description: SP4260 sp002728725 Standard tmRNA
Rfam family: transfer-messenger RNA
About the family: Bacterial tmRNA, also known as 10Sa RNA or SsrA, is named for its dual tRNA and mRNA-like properties.
Source: RNAcentral